Molecule: ribosomal RNA, 683 nt
Filed under: uncultured fungus
Lineage: Eukaryota; Fungi
Description: eukaryotic LSU rRNA
Rfam family: 5.8S ribosomal RNA (bases 216-369)
Source: RNAcentral
CUUGGUCAUUUAGAGGAAGUAAAAGUCGUAACAAGGUUUCCGUAGGUGAACCUGCGGAAGGAUCAUUCAUAAUAAGUGUUUUAUGGCACUUUUUAAAUCCAUAUCCACCUUGUGUGCAAUGUCAGUCGAUCUUCUUCAUGGAGAUCGACCAAACAUCAACCUUUAUUUUUUAACUCUUUGUCUGAAAAAUAUUAUGAAUAAACAAUUCAAAAUACAACUUUCAACAACGGAUCUCUUGGCUCUCGCAUCGAUGAAGAACGCAGCGAAAUGCGAUACGUAAUGUGAAUUGCAGAAUUCAGUGAAUCAUCGAAUCUUUGAACGCAUAUUGCGCUCUUUGGUAUUCCGAAGAGCAUGCUUGUUUGAGUAUCAGUAAACACCUCAAAGCUUUUGGAUUUUUUAAUCGAAAAGCUUUGGACUUGAGCAAUCCCAACACCAAUCUUUUUGAGAUCGGUGGCGGGUUGCUUGAAAUGCAGGUGCAGCUGGACAUUCUCCUGAGCUAAAAGCAUAUUCAUUUAGUCCCGUCGAACGGAUUAUUACUUUUGCUGCAGCUAACAUAAAGGGAGUUUGACCGUAUUGGCUGACUGAUGCAGGAUUUCACAAGGGUCGGCAACGAUUCUUGUUAAACUCGAUCUCAAAUCAAGUAAGACUACCCGCUGAACUUAAGCAUAUCAAUAAGCGGAGGA